GACGAACGCUGGCGGCGUGCCUAACACAUGCAAGUCGAGCGGAGAUUUCUUUGGCACUGAGUACUCUAGUAAAGACGCAAAGGAAGCGUCAUGAAGAAACAACAUAGAUGUUAAAAACACUGAUAAAAGUUUCUUCAUCACGCGUUUUUAAAGUGCCAACACAAAGAGGGAAGGAUAAGUAGAGUAUUGAGUGCCAAAGAAAUCUUAGCGGCGGACGGGUGAGUAACACGUGGGCAACCUGCCUUGAAGUGGGGGAUAACACCGGGAAAUCGGUGCUAAUACCGCAUAACAUACACAAACUGCAUGGUAAGUGUAUCAAAGGAGCAAUCCGCUUUAAGAUGGGCCCGCGGCUGAUUAGCUAGUUGGUAAGGUAACGGCUUACCAAGGCGACGAUCAGUAGCCGACCUGAGAGGGUGACCGGCCACACUGGAACUGAGACACGGUCCAGACUCCUACGGGAGGCAGCAGUGGGGAAUAUUGCGCAAUGGGGGAA
RNAcentral lists this ribosomal RNA (493 nucleotides) under uncultured bacterium. RNAcentral's name for it is "bacterial SSU rRNA". It matches the Rfam family "Bacterial small subunit ribosomal RNA", at positions 28 to 379 of the family's 1533-position model. The record is from RNAcentral.